UAGUGUAUGUUUGUCUAUAAGUUUUGCC
Molecule: small RNA, 28 nt
Filed under: Bombyx mori (domestic silkworm)
Lineage: Eukaryota; Metazoa; Arthropoda; Insecta; Lepidoptera; Bombycidae
Description: ovarian small RNA-23082
Source: RNAcentral